This 364-nucleotide long non-coding RNA is filed under the name Mytilus galloprovincialis (Mediterranean mussel). The record is from RNAcentral. Lineage: Eukaryota; Metazoa; Mollusca; Bivalvia; Mytilida; Mytilidae.
UUUAAAUAUAGAAUACUAAUGAUCCAGGGACUAAUUAUGUUUCUAAACUUAUCAGAACCAACAUCUGUGUUGUCUAGGAUGACCAGGUCAUUUCAGGUGAUGACCUUGUACUGAAUCUAGGAUAAUGACAUAAAAAUCACUUGUUUAAGUACCAUACCUCAAUUUCCUUCCCAAAAAUCACUUCUUUAAGUAUCAUUAUUUUAAUAACCCCCACUAAUUUCAACAUCCACGAACAGUGAAAUUUUUAUCGCGAACAGUAGAAUUUUAUUACAUAAUCUGAAAGAUGAAACCUUAAACUUCACAGGAAAAAUACUCCCACUGCUGGGAAAAAUCUUUUAAGAAAGUAUCAGUUCAUUAUGUAAAG